This 2731-nucleotide long non-coding RNA is filed under the name Mus musculus (house mouse). RNAcentral's name for it is "long non-coding RNA chr6:31288962-31291693". Lineage: Eukaryota; Metazoa; Chordata; Mammalia; Rodentia; Muridae. The record is from RNAcentral.
ACUAUAUAACGGUGUGACCGCUCAGAGCACCACCAUCCUGAGGCCCGCUGGGUGGGAACUCAUCCAAGUCGAGCUCACUUGCCCGGGAGCACUGCAGGGAAAUCUGUGUAGAGCCUUGAAAUGGAAAAUGCACGGAUACAACUUGGGAGCCUGACAUGGUGAGUCACGUUGCCAGCAAAAGCAACCCUGAGCAGAUGAUGAUCCCUAAGACCGCUGCUUCCUGAACCUGAACUUAAGCUGUAGGCUCUGAUGCAGUCAGUUGAGGGUGGGAGCUAGGCUGCAUUACCAACGGAUGCUGACCAUCCAGGUGAUGCUGAUGCUGCCCUUCCUGAGGACCACGGUGUGCGGCAUAGCAAGACCUUCGUCAGCAUGCAGCCAGUGCCCUGCUGGCUGAACACUGCCAGAGGGUGGCUGGAGGUGAGCUCAGGUGACAAAGUUGAGGUCUCAGAAUGGAACUCAAAGUCCUCUGGAGAGAUGCUCCAUGUCAAUCUGGAUAAAGAGGCUCCUUUAGAAUGGAGGGGGUGCACAGCAUUGCCAGAGGCUUGGCUUGGAGAAUGCCUGCAAUCAGGACCUUUCCAGAGAAACUCAUGUGUAACUGGUGAUGGUUCCUUAGCUAAGCCUGGUUCCUGAAUGGUUGUCCAGCACUGAGUGAAUGACCAGUGAACCAGUUCCCAACACUGACUGUGACCCGAGAAGAGUCCUGAGAGGCAGUUUCUGCCGCUCAUGUUCACUGUUAUUGAAAUAAACUUUUAAAGGGACUUGGAGAUUUUCUUAACAGCUAUCUCACCUGCUGGAUAGAGGAAAGGAGAGGGAGAGAGGCAGAGGGGAGAGGAAGACAAGAAAAAGAGGAGGUAGCACUAUUAGUCUAGGAUGCUUCCACCUCGUGAUCUGUAGUGUGUCUGCUCCAUGCAUUUUUUAAAGCAACACUUGACCUAGUUCUGACUUUCUAUUCAGUUGGACUUGGGGUAGUUUAUUAGUCCAUACACAGAGGACGGAGCGGAGGGAAAACCAAAGGAGAUGGCAGUCAUGCAAAUGUAGUAGUUGCGAGACAGACUUGAUCACAUGGACUAUUAUCUCUGUCCUGCUAUGCUAGCACCCACAUGGUAGUUUAAAAUACCCGUGACUUUCAGGGUUGCGUAGGGAUUUGAACAUCUGCAGGUUGGUUGGUAGCGUCUUCUUGAGAUACUUCCUCCCUGACGAGAGGUGUGAUUCAACAGGGAGAGGACACCCUCUGGGCUCUGUAGAGGAGAGCUGAUUGGUUUCCUUUAGCGUGAUGUUUGAUGAGUCAUUCUUCACCUAGGAGUUCUCUUAGGAUCUGCAGUCAAUCAGACAAUUUGCUUGAUCCAUUUAAAGUCACAUUAUUAUUAUUAUUGCUAUUAUUAUCAUUAAUUACUCAAAGGAGUGCUUUUGUUUUAUGCUUCAGGUGAAAUUCACAUAACAAAAUCCACUAUUUUAAAGGCAGCAAUACAGAAACCUGUAGUGUCUUUGUGACAUUGCACAACUUCCCCUUGUAUCCAGUUCCCAAACAUUUUUAUCACUCCCACAGGGAAGCCUCGCAUCCAUUAAGUUGUUACUGCUUGAUGCUGGCUCCCUCCUUCCGGAACCUGGUCACCGCCAAUUUACUUUCUCUGUGGUUCCCGGUCUGGGUAUUUUACAUAAGUGAAUUCCAACCAUGUGUGGCCAUUUGCUAAGUCACAUCUCCUUAAGAAUAAACAUUAUGGUUCUAGGGAAACCUAACAUUACUGAGUGCUUACAGCACAAGGCGUGCGACCCUUACAAGUAGACUCCAUAUACAGAUAAGAACAUGGAGAUUCGGAGAAUUGCCCGAGACCCAUACCUUCUGGCCGAGCAACGAAGAGGCUUCCAUAGCCAGGCCCACCUUCACUAGGGCAUUUCCCACUCACUGUGGCUCUGGCUCAGCAUCCUCUGUCACCUUGCAGACAGAUGCGUAGAUACUCCUUCUCAAGUUUAACAACUUCACAGAGCCCUGACUCGAAUUCCGAAUGCAGCGUUAGUUGCUUCCAGCUGCUUUUUUUCUUUUAGCGGUAAGUCCAGGCAAACUCCUUUGAAGAGCUCAUUAAAACUGCUAAAAUAAAGUCUUAGAAACAGGUGCAUUCAUUAGCAGAAAAUGCAGACGAUUAUGUUAAUAUCACAUUCAGGUGACAAAUUUAAAGGCCUCAGACUCAUGAAGGAUAAAAGGACCCCCCCCCCCCACCCAGGCUAGAGUUAACUUCUUUUGUGGGGUUUUGUUCUGGAUAGCACAUGACUGACUACAGCUGUCCAAAGUGGGAAACCUGCAGUGUUAGUUCACAAAAAUAAAGCUGAUCUGUGAUAUCAUGCUCCUCUUUAUGAUUUCUUGGAUCUCUAGUUAUGAAAAGAAAGCUGAGGGAUUGUCUACAACCUUACGGUCGGAUCUAGCUUGCCAUUGGUAACUUAUUGCCCACCAGGCCCAAAGAUGAUUGAUUCGGAUAUGUCGACAGGCAGGGCAUUGCUUAGUUUGGCUGCAUACACAGACCCUGGUUCUCUGCACUGGAGGAGUAAAUCAGUGUAGGCAAUGAUUUUCAGUUUGGACCAAAAAAUUAUUUUUACUGUGCUCUUUUUUUAAUUUAAAAAAUAUUGAGCCUGCAAUAAGAUUGUGUAAAGUCUUUGUUUUGAGAUGUGCACAUUUUUUGUAUUUCCCAGAUUUUCUACAGUGAAUUUUCAAUUUUGAAAUAAAAAUAUUCAUUUGCUU